This 461-nucleotide ribosomal RNA is filed under the name uncultured bacterium. RNAcentral's name for it is "partial 16S ribosomal RNA". It matches the Rfam family "Bacterial small subunit ribosomal RNA", at positions 29 to 523 of the family's 1533-position model. The record is from RNAcentral.
AACGAACGCUGGCGGCAGGCUUAACACAUGCAAGUCGAACGCAUCGCAAGAUGAGUGGCAGACGGGUGAGUAACGCGUGGGAACAUACCCUUUUCUACGGAAUAGCUCUGGGAAACUGGAAUUAAUACCGUAUACGCCCUUUACUGGUGGACAGUUAGGGGAAAGAUUUAUCGGGGAAGGAUUGGCCCGCGUUGGACUAGCUAGUUGGUGGGGUAACGGCCUACCAAGGCGACGAUCCAUAGCUGGUCUGAGAGGAUGAUCAGCCACAUUGGGACUGAGACACGGCCCAAACUCCUACGGGAGGCAGCAGUGGGGAAUAUUGGACAAUGGGCGCAAGCCUGAUCCAGCCAUGCCGCGUGAGUGAUGAAGGCCUUAGGGUUGUAAAGCUCUUUCACCGAUGAAGAUAAUGACGGUAGUCGGAGAAGAAGCCCCGGCUAACUUCGUGCCAGCCGCCGCCGUAA